Molecule: ribosomal RNA, 270 nt
Filed under: uncultured bacterium
Lineage: Bacteria
Description: partial 16S ribosomal RNA
Rfam family: Bacterial small subunit ribosomal RNA
Source: RNAcentral
AAUCAACGCUGGCGGCGUGCCUAACACAUGCAAGUCGAACGAGAAAGCAGGAGCAAUCUUGUGAGUAAAGUGGCGACCGGGUGAGUAACACGUGACUAACCUGCCCUUGAGUGGGGGAUAACCUCGGGAAACCGGGGCUAAUACCGCAUAAUUUCAUGAGGUGAAAGUCCUUAUGAUCAAAGGAGCAAUUCGCUGAAGGAGGGGGUCGCGGCUGAUUAGCUAGUUGGUGAGGUAACGGCCCACCAAGGCAAUGAUCAGUAGCCGGCCUGA